UUUUCACCUUAGGGGGCGCUAUGGAGCCAUUUUGCAUUUUCUUGUUUGGGCGACUUCGGAAUAUCAAAUUUUUCACCAGGCCCGGUCGUCCUGCCAAAUUUCAUGAGUUUUCGCCAGUGGGAAGUGGGCCAUUUUCCAGUUCAAAGGGGAGGAAAAAUAACUAGGGCCCCGGUGGGGCACUGUCGGGCCCGAGCCGCGUUGCGCCGCCCCCAGCGCGACCGCCUCCCCCUCCCGAUCGCGUCACACUCAAGGUCCAAAGAUGGUGUGCGCACUUGUCUGUGGUCAUUUCCCAUUAUAAUGAAUGGGAGGCGCAGUUUCUACCAAAACACUCGCUGCAGACAAACUACAUGUCCUAUUUGAAAAAAGUCUGGACCAUGAGUGAGGGCACAAACACAGCUAGGAUAUAUCCAAACGGCAAGUUGCUCCUCGUUACGGUGUUGCCGGGAGAGUGAUGCGAUUGAGCCAUUGAGUGAUGGGCAGGAAAAACUUGACUGUUUCUCCUGCCAUGGGGGUUGGGGGAUGGGGGAUGUGGAUUCUUUUAAGAAUGUGGAUAUUUGGGUAAUCUUUGGCGCCCCCUAGAACAUAAACCGUGGGGUGCAGCGUCAUGAUUUUUAAAACUUUGAAUGGCCAUGGGGUGUAGAUUGGCCUGAGCAAAUUUGGUGUCAGUGGGACGAAAGCCUUAGGAGGAGUUAGCCACAUUCGAAUGUGUGCGAAUCGGCAAAAAAUGCAAAAUAGCCCUUUAACCGUACAUUUUACAGAUACGCGCGCAUUGACUUUUUCGUAGAUCUUAUUGAGAUACAUGUGAUUGUCAAAUUUUGUGUCAAUAUGACAAAGCGUACAGGUAUGACAGUCAACAAUGUGUUUUUUCAUCUUAUGGGACAAGAAAAAAUGGACUUUUUUCUCCUGCCAUGGGGGGGCGCUCUUUUGGGGAUUAAAAAUUCCUUCACAAAUGUGUUGAUGGCUGGACAUUGCAUCAUCCUAGAAAACUUGGAGGCCAGUGAGGGCAAAAAUAAAAAGUUAUAAGACUUUUAAAUAUGUGGAUUUUUGGGUUAUCUUUGGCGCCCCCUAGAACCUAAACCGUGGGGUGCAGCGUCAUGAUUUGAAUAACUUUUAAUGGCCAUGGGGUGUAAUUUGGCCUGAGCAAAUGUGGUGCCGGUGGAACGAAAGCCUUCGGAGGAGUUAGCGAAAUUCCAAUGUGUGCGAAUCGGCAAAAAAUGCGAAAUAACCCUUUAACCGUACAUUUGACAGAUACGCGCGCAUUGACUUUUUCGUAGAUCUUAUUGAGAUACAUGUGUGUGUCAAUUUUUGUGUCAUUUUGACAAAGCGUACAGGCGUGACACUCAACAAUGUGUAUUUUCACCUUAGGGGACAAGAAAAAAUGGACUUUUUUCUCCUGCCAUGGGGGGGCGCUCUUUUGGGGAGUAAAAAUUCCUUCACAAAUGUGUUGAUGGCUGGACAUUGCAUCAUCCUAGAAAACUUGGAGGCCAGUGAGGGCAAAAAUAAAAAGUUAUAAGACUUUUAAAUAUGUGGAUUUUAGGGUUAUCUUUGGCGCCCCCUAGAACGUAAACCGUGGGGUGCAGCGUCAUGAUUUGAAUAACUUUUAAUGGCCAUGGGGUGUAGAUUGGCCUGAGCAAAUGUGGUGCCGGUGGAACGAAAGCCUUCGGAGGAGUUAGCGAAAUUCCAAUGUGUGCGGAUCGGCAAAAAAUGCGAAAUAACCCUUUAUCCGUACAUUUUACAGAUACGCCCGCACUGACUUUUUUGUAGAUCUUAUUGAGAUACAUGUGUGUGUCAAAUUUUGUGUCAAUAUGACAAAGCGUACAGGCGUGACAGUCAAUAGUGUGAAUUUUCACCUUAGGGGGCGCUAUGGAGCCAUUUUGCAUUUUAUUGUUUGGGCGACUUCAGAAUAUCAAAUUUUUCACCAGGCCCGGUCGUCCUGCCAAAUUUCAUGAGUUUUCGCCAGUGGGAAGUGGGCCAUUUUCCAGUUCAAAGGGGAGGAAAAAUAACUAGGGCCCCGGUGGGGCACUGUCGGGCCCGAGCUGCGUCGCGCCGCCCCCAGCGCGACCGCCUCCCCCUCCCGAUCGCAUCACACUCAAGGUCCAAAGAUGGUGUGCGCACUUGUCUGUGGUCAUUUCCCAUUAUAAUGAAUGGGAGGCGCAGUUUCUACCAAAACGGUCGCUGCAGACAAACUACAUGUCCUAUUUGAAAAAAGUCUGGACCAUGAGUGAGGGCACAAACACAGCUAGGAUAUAUCCAAAUGGCAAGUUGCUCCUCCUUACGGUGUUGCCUGGCGUGCGAUGCGAUUGAGCCUUUGAGCGAUGGGCAGGGUUAACUGGACUUUUUCUCCUGCCUUGGGGGGGGGGGGGAUGUGGAUUCUUUUAAGAAUGUGGAUAUUUGGGUCAUCUUUGGCGCCCCCUAGAACGUAAACCAUGGGGUGCAGCGGCAUGAUUUUUACAACUUUGAAUGGCCAUGGGAUGUAGAUCGGCUUGAGCAAAUUUGGUGUCGGUGGGAAGAAAGCCUUAGGAGGAGUUAGCCACAUUCCAAUGUGUGCAGAUCUGCAAAAAAUGCGAAAUAGCCCUUUAACCGUACAUUUUACAGAUACGUGCCCAUUGACUUUUUCGUAGAUCUUAUUGAGAUACACGUGUGUGUCAAAUUUUGUGUCAUUUUGACAAAGCGUAUAGGCGUGACAGUCAACAAUGUGUUUUUUCACCUUAGGGGACAAGAAAAAAUGGACUUUUUUUCUCCUGCCAUGGGGGGGCGCUCUUUUCGGGAGUAAAAAUUCCUUUACAAAUGUGUUGAUGGCUGGACAUUGCAUCAUCCUAGAAAACUUGGAGGCCAGUGAGGACAAAAAUAAAAAGUUAUAAGACUAUUAAGAAUGUGGAUUUUUGGGUUAUCUUUGGCGCCCCCUAGAACCUAAACCGUGGAGUGCAACGUCAUGAUUUGUACAACUUUUAAUGGCCAUGGGGUGUAGAUUGGCCUGAGCAAAUUUGGUGGCGGUGGAACUAAAGCCUUCGGAGGAGUUAGUGAAAUUCCAAUGUGUGCGGAUCGGGAAAAAAUGCGAAAUAACCCUUUAACCGUACAUUUUACAGAUACGUGCCCAUUGACUUUUUCGUAGAUCUUAUUGAGAUACACGUGAUUGUCAAAUUUUGUGUCAAUAUGACAAAGCGUAUAGGCGUGACACUCAACAAUGUGUAUUUUCACCUUAGGGGACAAGAAAAAAUGGACUUUUUUCUCCUGCCAUGUGGGGGCGCUCUUUUGGGGAGUAAAAAUUCCUUCACAAAUGUGUUGAUGGCUGGACAUUGCAUCAUCCUAGAAAACUUGGAGGCCAGUGAGGACAAAAAUAAAAAGUUAUAAGACUUUUAAAAAUGUGGAUAUUUGGGUCCUCUUUGGCGCCCCCUAGAACGUAAACUGUGGGGUGCAGCGUCAUGAUUUGUACAAUUUUGAAUGGCCAUGGGGUGUAGAUUGACCUGAGCAAAUUUGAAGCCGAUGGGACAAAAGAUUUAGGAGGAGUUAGCGAAAUUCCAAUGUGUGCGGAUCGGCAAAAAAUGCGAAAUAACCCUUUAACCGUACAUUUGACAGAUACUUCCGCACUGACUUUUUUGUAGAUCUUAUUUAGAUACAUGUGUGUGUCAAAUUUUGUGUCAUUUUGACAAAGCGUAAAGGCGUGACAGUCAACAAUGUGUAUUUUCGCCUUAGGAGACAAGAAAAAAUGGACUUUUUUCUCCUGCCAUGGGGGGGGCGCUCUUUUGGCGAGUAAAAAUUCCUUCACAAAUGUGUUGAUGGCUGGACAUUGCAUCAUCCUAGAGAACUUGGAGGCCAGUGAGGACAAAAAUAAAAAGUUAUAAGACUUUUAAGACUGUGGAUUUUUGGGUUAUCUUUGGCGCCCCCUAGAACGUAAACCGUGGGGUGCAGUGUCAUGAUUUGUACAACUUUUAAUGGCCAUGGGGUGUAGAUUGGCCUCAGCAAAUGUGGUGCCUUUGGAACGAAAGCCUUCGGAGGAGUUAGCGAAAUUCCAAUGUGUGCGGAUCGGCAAAAAAUGCGAAAUAGCCCUUUCACCGUACAUUUGACAGAUACGCCCGCACUGACUUUUUUGUAGAUCUUAUUGAGAUACAUGUGUGUGUCAAUUUUUGUGUCAAUAUGACAAAGCGUAAAGGCGUGACAGUCAAUAGUGUGAAUUUUCGCCUUAGGAGACAAGAAAAAAUGGACUUUUUUCUCCUGCCAUGGGGGGGCGCUCUUUUGGGGAGUAAAAAUUCCUUCACAAAUGUGUUGAUGGCUGGACAUUGCAUCAUCCUAGAAAACUUGGAGGCCAGUGAGGACAAAAAUAAAAAGUUAUACGACUUUUAAGAAUGUGGAUUUCUGGGUUAUCUUUGGCGCCCCCUAGAACCUAAACCGUGGGGUGCAGCGUCAUGAUUUGAAUAACUUUUAAUGGCCAUGGGGUGUAGAUUGGCCUGAGCAAAUGUGGUGCCGGUGGAACGAAAGCCUUCGGAGGAGUUAGCGAAAUUCCAAUGUGUGCGGAUCGGCAAAAAAUGCGAAAUAACCCUUUAUCCGUACAUUUUACAGAUACGCCCGCACUGACUUUUUUGUAGAUCUUAUUGAGAUACAUGUGUGUGUCAAAUUUUGUGUCAAUAUGACAAAGCGUACAGGCGUGACAGUCAAUAGUGUGAAUUUUCACCUUAGGGGGCGCUAUGGAGCCAUUUUGCAUUUUAUUGUUUGGGCGACUUCAGAAUAUCAAAUUUUUCACCAGGCCCGGUCGUCCUGCCAAAUUUCAUGAGUUUUCGCCAGUGGGAAGUGGGCCAUUUUCCAGUUCAAAGGGGAGGAAAAAUAACUAGGGCCCCGGUGGGGCACUGUCGGGCCCGAGCUGCGUCGCGCCGCCCCCAGCGCGACCGCCUCCCCCUCCCGAUCGCAUCACACUCAAGGUCCAAAGAUGGUGUGCGCACUUGUCUGUGGUCAUUUCCCAUUAUAAUGAAUGGGAGGCGCAGUUUCUACCAAAACGGUCGCUGCAGACAAACUACAUGUCCUAUUUGAAAAAAGUCUGGACCAUGAGUGAGGGCACAAACACAGCUAGGAUAUAUCCAAAUGGCAAGUUGCUCCUCCUUACGGUGUUGCCAGGAGAGCGAUGCGAUUGAGCCAUUGAGCGAUGGGCAGGGUUAACUGGACUUUUUCUCCUGCCUUGGGGGGGGGGGGGGGGAUGUGGAUUCUUUUAAGAAUGUGGAUAUUUGGGUCAUCUUUGGCGCCCCCUAGAACGUAAACCAUGGGGUGCAGCGGCAUGAUUUUUACAACUUUGAAUGGCCAUGGGAUGUAGAUCGGCUUGAGCAAAUUUGGUGUCGGUGGGAAGAAAGCCUUAGGAGGAGUUAGCCACAUUCCAAUGUGUGCAGAUCUGCAAAAAAUGCGAAAUAGCCCUUUAACCGUACAUUUUACAGAUACGUGCCCAUUGACUUUUUCGUAGAUCUUAUUGAGAUACACGUGUGUGUCAAAUUUUGUGUCAUUUUGACAAAGCGUAUAGGCGUGACAGUCAACAAUGUGUUUUUUCACCUUAGGGGACAAGAAAAAAUGGACUUUUUUCUCCUGCCAUGGGGGGGCGCUCUUUUCGGGAGUAAAAAUUCCUUUACAAAUGUGUUGAUGGCUGGACAUUGCAUCAUCCUAGAAAACUUGGAGGCCAGUGAGGACAAAAAUAAAAAGUUAUAAGACUAUUAAGAAUGUGGAUUUUUGGGUUAUCUUUGGCGCCCCCUAGAACCUAAACCGUGGAGUGCAACGUCAUGAUUUGUACAACUUUUAAUGGCCAUGGGGUGUAGAUUGGCCUGAGCAAAUUUGGUGGCGGUGGAACUAAAGCCUUCGGAGGAGUUAGUGAAAUUCCAAUGUGUGCGGAUCGGGAAAAAAUGCGAAAUAACCCUUUAACCGUACAUUUUACAGAUACGUGCCCAUUGACUUUUUCGUAGAUCUUAUUGAGAUACACGUGAUUGUCAAAUUUUGUGUCAAUAUGACAAAGCGUAUAGGCGUGACACUCAACAAUGUGUAUUUUCACCUUAGGGGACAAGAAAAAAUGGACUUUUUUCUCCUGCCAUGUGGGGGCGCUCUUUUGGGGAGUAAAAAUUCCUUCACAAAUGUGUUGAUGGCUGGACAUUGCAUCAUCCUAGAAAACUUGGAGGCCAGUGAGGACAAAAAUAAAAAGUUAUAAGACUUUUAAAAAUGUGGAUAUUUGGGUCCUCUUUGGCGCCCCCUAGAACGUAAACUGUGGGGUGCAGCGUCAUGAUUUGUACAAUUUUGAAUGGCCAUGGGGUGUAGAUUGACCUGAGCAAAUUUGAAGCCGAUGGGACAAAAGAUUUAGGAGGAGUUAGCGAAAUUCCAAUGUGUGCGGAUCGGCAAAAAAUGCGAAAUAACCCUUUAACCGUACAUUUGACAGAUACUUCCGCACUGACUUUUUUGUAGAUCUUAUUGAUAUACAUGUGUGUGUCAAAUUUUGUGUCAUUUUGACAAAGCGUAAAGGCGUGACAGUCAACAAUGUGUAUUUUCGCCUUAGGAGACAAGAAAAAAUGGACUUUUUUCUCCUGCCAUGGGGGGGGCGCUCUUUUGGCGAGUAAAAAUUCCUUCACAAAUGUGUUGAUGGCUGGACAUUGCAUCAUCCUAGAGAACUUGGAGGCCAGUGAGGACAAAAAUAAAAAGUUAUAAGACUUUUAAGACUGUGGAUUUUUGGGUUAUCUUUGGCGCCCCCUAGAACGUAAACCGUGGGGUGCAGUGUCAUGAUUUGUACAACUUUUAAUGGCCAUGGGGUGUAGAUUGGCCUCAGCAAAUGUGGUGCCUUUGGAACGAAAGCCUUCGGAGGAGUUAGCGAAAUUCCAAUGUGUGCGGAUCGGCAAAAAAUGCGAAAUAGCCCUUUCACCGUACAUUUGACAGAUACGCCCGCACUGACUUUUUUGUAGAUCUUAUUGAGAUACAUGUGUGUGUCAAUUUUUGUGUCAAUAUGACAAAGCGUAAAGGCGUGACAGUCAAUAGUGUGAAUUUUCGCCUUAGGAGACAAGAAAAAAUGGACUUUUUUCUCCUGCCAUGGGGGGGCGCUCUUUUGGGGAGUAAAAAUUCCUUCACAAAUGUGUUGAUGGCUGGACAUUGCAUCAUCCUAGAAAACUUGGAGGCCAGUGAGGACAAAAAUAAAAAGUUAUACGACUUUUAAGAAUGUGGAUUUCUGGGUUAUCUUUGGCGCCCCCUAGAACGUAAACCGUGGGAUGCAGCGUCAUGAUUUGUACAACUUUUAAUGGCCAUGGGGUGUAGAUUGGCCUGAGCAAAUUUGGUGCCGGUGGAACGAAAGCCUUCGGAGGAGUUAGCGAAAUUCCAAUGUGUGCGGAUCGGCAAAAAAUGCGAAAUAGCCCUUUAACCGUACAUUUGACAGAUACGCCCGCACUGACUUUUUUGUAGAUCUUAUUGAGAUACACGUGUGUGUCAAAUUUUGUGUCAUUUUGACAAAGCGUACAGGCGUGACACUCAAUCAUGUGAAUUUUUCACCUUAGGGGGCGCUAUGGAGCCAUUUUGCAUUUGAUUUUUUGGGCGACUUCAGAAUAUCGAAUUUUUCACCAGGCCCGGUCGUCCUGCCAAAUUUCAUGACUUUUCACCAGUGGGAAGUGGGCCAUUUUCCAGUUCAAAGGGGCAGAAAAAUAAUAAGACUAGGACCCCGUUGGGGCACUGGCGGGCCCGCGCUGUGUCGCGCCCCCCCCCCCCCCCCUCUGGCCAUCGCCCUCUCUGGUAACGCCCAUCACUGCAAAGACCCUUUUCCUUCAUCGGCGUUUGCUGUUCUUCCUGCCAGUGCGUGUUGCUUUCACUUACACUUGCCACAGCCAGCCUCGUGAGUGCCUAGCCUAUUCGAUAUCACUGUCACCUACACAGGACAGUCAUUACCUUUCUAUUAAUACUUUGUUUUUUAAUUUCACAUUAAUUUCCAUAUUGUAUAAACAACUGGAAAAAACUUGAGCCCCUGCCCCUGUAUAAUCAUGUGCACGUCUCUGUUCUAGCUCUAAGGUGAAUCUUCACUGCUCAUGUUCUCCUCAGAAGCAGUCACCUCACUCCCCUCAGGUUACUGUACACAUGCACCAACUGCCUGCUUCAGGUUUGGAUGGAGCUUCAUGGUUGUCUUUUGGAGAAAUGACCAGUCAAGUUGUGUUUGAAAUUUGAUUUUUUUCAGGGGCAAAAGGAGCCUCUGCAUUCUUGUCAAAUAUGUAAAUAGCAUGUUUUUGCAGGUGCUAAAAACCAGACUCUGAGUGUGUGUGUGUGCUUGUGUGUGUGUGUCUGUGUGUGUGUGUGUGUGUGUGUGUGCGUUCAAGUCACAUGACAUAUUUAAACGGAUGUAGCUGCAAGACGGAGCCUCGUUGACUCUCCGUUUCAACUUAUCUCAAAAGUGAGGACCUCAACCUAUAUACCAGUUUUUAAAUUGUGUUGAUAGGCCAAAUAAAACCAGAGUUAUGAUAAAUUAUGUCCGUGAUACUUUUUUUCUGCUUAUUUUGAUCACGUUCUGCGCUGAUCGCGCUGUAUGAGACAGGAAAACAUAGCAUGCAGACAUUAGCGACAGGUCUUACAGGCGGAAAAGGCUUGCCAAAGGAAAAAAAAAACACACCACAACAUCUCUCCUAUUGGUGGAAAACUUCACCACAACAACCAAUCCAAAAUUAUAUGGUGACUGAUUGACAAGGGGCGGGCGCUUACGUUCUUCCUGCAAUAUGAGAAGGGAGGGAGGGAGGGACUCUCAGCAGGGAUGCAGUCUGGGACACGUAGUUGCAAACCUAGCGACUUUGUUGUUAGAUUCAAUGACUUUUCAGACCCCCUAAUGACUUUUUUUUUAGAAAGAAAGUGACUUUUAUCGACUUCUUCUGGAGUUUAGAGACUCUGACAUGAAGCAGGCUUUCCUUACUGAGGAGUUAGCAACGCUGCUAAGGGUGCAGAGCCACACAUGCGCUCCGAGCUCUGCAUGGGAGACUGAAGCUGACAGAGCUGCAGCAGUUAGCAGGUUUCACCCUCAGAGACCACCAGGGGUUCAUGUUGAGGCAUUUUAAUUUUUUUUUUUUUUUUUGCCAUAGACACUGUCAGCACAAUCUGCAGUUACACUAACAAAAAUGCUGCAAAAAACAAAGAAUUAUGGAAAAAUUACACAUGGACUAACAUAGAGGAGGAUCUACACAAGUUUUUUACAUCAUGUUUUACAUCAUGCAUCAUUAACAUCAUGUUUUUUUGUAGUGGCAUAAAUAAAAAGUGACAUUUGUGAGACUAUACAGUGUUUUGUAAAUAAUUUUACAAAGAACACCUGGGCCAUUGCCUGCAUUUUGAUGUAAAUAGAGGUAAAUUACUAUGUUCUUUGUUAAAAAUUUGCAUAUGUUUUGAAGUUUACAAUUUUUAUUUGAAGUUUAAGUUUUAAAAACAGUUCAUCACACAUAUUUGUGGUUUUCACAGUAAAAACGUUACUUUUUUCCACUCGGAUUUUAUGUUUUGUGUGUGAAUUUGGGUCCAAUGUGUAAAUAUAGUAUGUCAAAAUGAUAAAAUAACUGUAAAUUGACACAGGUGAGGUUGUGCUGAAAAAAAUGAUACCAGGCAAGGCAAGGUAAAAAUUUUGUAAGAGGAAAUAUAAAGGUAAAAUCUAAAGUAGUCAAAAACGGCCAAUAGUGACUCACAGACUCCACAGACAAGUCCCUUUGGCGCCACUCAGUGGGCAAAACUACUUUGUCUACUGUAAUGUAUAUUUGGGUCAUCUUUGGCGCACCCUAAAACGUAAACCGUGGGGUGCAGCGUCAUGAUUUUUACAACUUUGAAUGGCCAUGGAGUGUAGAUUGGCCUGAGCAAAUUUGGUGUCAGUGGGACGAAAGCCUUAGGAGGAGUUAGCGAAAUUCCAAUGUGUGCGAAUCGGCAAAAAAUGCAAAAUAGUCCUUUUACCGUACAUUAUACAGAUACGCGCUCUUUGACUUUUUCGUAGAUCUAAUUGAGAUACACAUGAUUGUCAAUUUUUGUGUCAUUUUGCCAAAGCGUACAGGCGUGACAGUCAACAAUGUGUAUUUUCACCUUAGGGGACAAGAAAAAAUGGACUUUUUUCUCCUGCCAUGGGGGGCGCUCUUUUAGGGAGUAAAAAUUCCUUCACAAAUGUGUUGAUGGCUGGACAUUGCAUCAUCCUAGAAAACUUGGAGGCCAGUGAGGACAAAAAUAAAAAGUUAUAAGACUUUUAAAAAUGUGGAUUUUUGGGUUAUCUUUGGCGCCCCCUAGAACGUAAACCGUGGGGUGCAGCGUCAUGAUUUGAAUAACUUUUAAUGGCCAUGGGGUGUAAUUUGGCCUGAGCAAAUGUGGUGCCGGUGGAACGAAAGCCUUCGGAGGAGUUAGCGAAAUUCCAAUGUGUGCGAAUCGGCAAAAAAUGCGGAAUAACCCUUUAACCGUACAUUUGACAGAUACGCGCUCAUGGACUUUUUUGUAGAUCUUAUUGAGAUACAUGUGUGUGUCAAUUUUUGUGUCAUUUUGACAAAGCGUACAGGCGUGACACUCAACAAUGUGUAUUUUCACCUUAGGGGACAAGAAAAAAUGGACUUUUUUCUCCUGCCAUGGGGGGGCGCUCUUUUGGGGAGUAAAAAUUCCUUCACAAAUGUGUUGAUGGCUGGACAUUGCAUCAUCCUAGAAAACUUGGAGGCCAGUGAGGGCAAAAAUAAAAAGUUAUAAGACUUUUAAAUAUGUGGAUUUUAAGGUUAUCUUUGGCGCCCCCUAGAACCUAAACCUUGGGGUGCAGCGUCAUGAUUUUGAUAACUUUUAAUGGCCACGGGGUGUAGAUUGGCCUGAGCAAAUGUGGUGCCGGUGGAACGAAAGCCUUCGGAGGAGUUAGCGAAAUUCCAAUGUGUGCGGAUUGGAAAAAAAUGCGAAAUAACCCUUUAACCGUACAUUUGACAGAUACGGCCGCACUGACUUUUUUGUAGAUCUUAUUGAGAUACAUAUGUGUGUCAAUUUUUGUGUCAAUAUGACAAAGCGUACAGGCGUGACAGUCAAUAGUGUGAAUUUCCACCUUAGGGGGCGCUAUGGAGCCAUUUUGCAUUUUAUUGUUUGGGCGACUUCAGAAUAUCGAAUUUUUCACCAGGCCCGGUCGUCCUGCCAAAUUUCAUGAGUUUUCGCCAGUGGGAAGUGGGCCAUUUUCCAGUUCAAAGGGGAGGAAAAAGAAGAAAGAAAGAAAGAAAGAAAGAACUAGGACCCCGUUGGGGCACUGUCGGGCCCGAGCCGUGUCGCGCCGCCCCCAGUGCGACCGCCUCCCCCUCCCGAUCGCGUCACACUCAAGAUCCAAAGAUGGUGUGCGCACUUGUCUGUG
Non-coding RNA from Xyrichtys novacula (pearly razorfish), 11302 nucleotides. Lineage: Eukaryota; Metazoa; Chordata; Actinopteri; Labriformes; Labridae. The record is from the annotation of a GenBank genome assembly.